RNAcentral lists this ribosomal RNA (41 nucleotides) under Sinocyclocheilus anshuiensis. The record is from RNAcentral. Lineage: Eukaryota; Metazoa; Chordata; Actinopteri; Cypriniformes; Cyprinidae.
CUGUUCUCGCCCGAUCUCGUCUGAUCUCGGAAGCUAAACAG